GUGAGUCAUCGAAUCUUUGAACGCACCUUGCGCUCCUUGGUAUUCCGAGGAGCAUGCCUGUUUGAGUGUCUUGAAAUCAUCAAACCCCUCCCCUGCUUUUUCCGGCGGGGGCGGGCGGUUUGGAGCUGGGGGUUGUGCUGCCGAAGAGGCGGCUCCCCUCAAAUGCGUCGGUCAGGCGCGUGCGGGUCGAUCUCGGACCGGGCGUUGUACCAUCCUCGCUCUGCUGGGAACCCGUGCGGCGACCAGGGCUGCCUGUGGAGUGGCUGCCAAACUCCUUUCUCUUUUGACCUCAAAUCAGGUAGGACUACCCGCUGAACUUAAGCAUAUCAAUAAGCGGAGGA
RNAcentral lists this unclassified non-coding RNA (341 nucleotides) under Trechisporales sp. RNAcentral describes it as "partial contains 5.8S ribosomal RNA, internal transcribed spacer 2, and large subunit ribosomal RNA". The stretch from base 1 to 71 matches the Rfam family "5.8S ribosomal RNA", at positions 84 to 154 of the family's 154-position model. Lineage: Eukaryota; Fungi; Basidiomycota; Agaricomycetes; Trechisporales. The record is from RNAcentral.